Molecule: ribosomal RNA, 301 nt
Filed under: uncultured bacterium
Lineage: Bacteria
Description: partial 16S ribosomal RNA
Rfam family: Bacterial small subunit ribosomal RNA
Source: RNAcentral
CAGCAGCCGCGGGAAUACCGAGGGUGCGAGCGUUAAUCGGAUUUACUGGGCGUAAAGCGUGCGUAGGCGGCUUCUUAAGUCGGAUGUGAAAUCCCUGAGCUUAACUUAGGAAUUGCAUUCGAUACUGGGAAGCUAGAGUAUGGGAGAGGAUGGUAGAAUUCCAGGUGUAGCGGUGAAAUGCGUAGAGAUCUGGAGGAAUACCGAUGGCGAAGGCAGCCAUCUGGACUAAUACUGACGCUGAGGUACGAAAGCAUGGGGAGCAAACAGGAUUAGAUACCCGCGUAGUCCCUGUCUCUUAUAC